UGUCGCCCGCAAGGGCGCAUGGUGGAUGCCUUGGCAGACAGUACCGACGAAGGACGUUUGAGGAUGCGAUAAGCCUCGGGGAGCCUCCAGCAUGGCUUCGAUCCGAGGAUUUCCGAAUGGGGCAACCCGCCGGCCGUCAUGGGCCGGCACCGCAGGCUUCUGCGGGGGGUACGCAGGGAAGUGAAACAUCUCAGUACCUGCAGGAAGGGAUACUCCGUGAGUAGUGGCGAGCGAAAGCGGAUCAGACCAAACCGCGUGCGCGUGAUACCCGUCGGGGGUUGCGUGCGCGGUGUUGAGGGAGCGCGUGUCCCGGUUCCGACGGACCGGGCGGGAGUCAUAAAGCGGCUUGCCAGGGGAACAGGCUUGAAGGCCUGGCCGCAGAGGGUGCCAGCCCCGUACCUGGACGCUUGCCGUCUUCCGAUCGCGUGUCCCAAGUAGCGCGGGCCUCGUGGAAUCCCGCGUGAAUCCGCACCGACCGUGGUGUAAGUCUAAGCAUACCUGUCUGACCGAUAGCGUACCAGUACCGUGAGGGAAAGGUGAAAAGCACCCCGGGAGGGGAGUGAAAGAGUUCCUGAAACCGUGCGCCUACGAUCCGUCGGAGCCUCCUUGUGGGGUGACGGCGUGCCUAUCGAAAAAUGAGUCUGCGAGUCAGUGAUGCGUGGCGAGGCUAACCCGUCGUGGGGCAGCCGUAGCGAAGGCGAGUCCGAACAGGGCGUUCUGCAGUCGCGUGUCCUGGACCCGAAGCGGGAUGAUCUAGCCCUGGGCAGGUUGAAGCGCGGGUAAGACCGCGUGGAGGACCGAACCCACCUGGGUUGAAAACCGGGGGGAUGACCUGGGGCUAGGGGUGAAAGGCCAAUCAAAUUCCGUGAUAGCUGGUUCUCUCCGAAAUGCAUUUAGGUGCAGCGUCGGCUUAUUGCAUCGCGGGGGUAGAGCUACCGGAUGCUUGCGGGCCCUUGUGGGGUACCAACAGCAGCCGAACUCCGAAUACCGUUGAUGUGUAUGCCGGCAGUGAGUCGGCGGGGGAUAAGCUCCGUCGUCGAGAGGGAGACAGCCCAGACCGUCGUCCGAGGUCCCCAAGCGUGUGCUAAGUGGGAAAGGAUGUGGGGCCGCAUAGACAGCCAGGAGGUUGGCUCAGAAGCAGCCAUCCUUGAAAGAGUGCGUAACAGCUCACUGGUCUAGUGGUCCCGCGCCGACAAUGUAGCGGGGCUCAAGCACACCACCGAAGACGCGGCGGCAUGCCUUUGGCGUGCCGGGUAGGAGAGCGUCCUGCAAGGGGCGAAGCGGCCGGGUGACCGUGCCGUGGACUUUGCGGGAGUGAGAAUGCAGACAUGAGUAGCGAGAGACGGGUGAGGAUCCCGUCCGCCGGAUGACCAAGGGUUCCGGGGCCACGUUCGUCGUCCCCGGGUGAGUCGGGUCCUAAGGCGAGGCCGACAGGCGUAGUCGAAUGGAUGAACGGGUGGAUAUUCCCGUACCGGCAGCGAACCGACAGGACCGAGGCGGUGAGUACUAACCUCCGUCGCGGGCCGUUCCCCUCCUUCGGGUGGGGUCCGGCGCGUGGCGUUGGGAGCGUAGCCGUGGUAGGUGAGCGCAGGGGUGACACGGAAUGGGAGCCGGCCGCGGAGGUGGUUUUCCGUGGUCAAGCACGCAGCCAGUCAUGCAGGCAAAUCCGCAUGGCGCGUAUGGCGAGGUGCGAUGAUGGGAGCCGUUUCGGCUCGAUAUCCGGUGGUCCAGGCCGUCGAGAAAAGCCCCGGCGUCAGGCGCGUUGCCGCCCGUACCCCAAACCGACACUGGUGGUCAGGUAGAGAAUACCAAGGCGAUCGAGCGAAUCCUGGUCAAGGAACUCGGCAAACCGCUCCCGUGCCUUCGGCAUAAGGGAGACCCCCGCGGGUGAACGGACAUGCUCCGGGAGCGUGUGGGGGUGGCACAGACCAGGGGGUAGCGACUGUUUACCAAAAACACAGGUGCAUGCGAAGGCGUAAGCCGCUGUAUAUGCACUGACGCCUGCCCGGUGCCGGAAGGUUAAGAGGAUCCGUCAGCCCCCUUGGGGGUGAAGCGGUGAAUUCAAGCCCCGGUAAACGGCGGUGGUAACUAUAACCAUCCUAAGGUAGCGAAAUUCCUUGUCGGGUAAGUUCCGACCUGCACGAAUGG
RNAcentral lists this ribosomal RNA (2148 nucleotides) under human gut metagenome. RNAcentral's name for it is "bacterial LSU rRNA". It matches the Rfam family "Bacterial large subunit ribosomal RNA", at positions 1 to 1999 of the family's 2925-position model. The record is from RNAcentral.